RNAcentral lists this long non-coding RNA (10624 nucleotides) under Mytilus galloprovincialis (Mediterranean mussel). Lineage: Eukaryota; Metazoa; Mollusca; Bivalvia; Mytilida; Mytilidae. The record is from RNAcentral.
AAGAUUUCGAUGUCGUCAUGUACAUAUAUAUAAUAGUGCAUUGACUUGACAUAUCAACGAUAUAAGGAUGAGGCUUAGAAAUGGGGAAAUGCGAGGCUCUGUCGAGCUUUUUCUCCCGUUUCGGGCCGAAUCCUGCAAUCUAAAAAAACAUUUUCAAUUGUUGUUUAAUGUGUUAAUUUUAUCAUUUGAUUCAAUUAUUGGGAAACUUCCCCCUUUUAUAAAAAGACCUCAUAUCGUGCAGGCGGAGAAAUAAGCAACACGAUGAAAUGUACAUUACCUGUUGAAAUUAGAAAGGAGUGCAGUAUAAAAAAUAAUCUUCUCAAUUUCAUAAUAAAGGUUUGAUCUUCAUGAGGAAAUUUGAAGAAUACGAUAUAACUGUGCUUGGUACCAUUUAAAAAAGAAGUAAAAAGUAAAACAGCAGUUCUUUGUAUUUGGUCAUUAUUUUUUGGUCUUUGAUAUUGAUAAUAUUUAUUAUAGUUUUUAAUCUUCACAGCUGCUAUUUUAUUUAAAGUAUCAAAUUAUUUUAUCAACACAUUUACAAUUAAUGUACUAUUAUAAUUUCUUGCCCUUUAUAGUUUGAUUGCACUUUGGCAAAUGCAUGUACUAUUCACAAUUUGAAUGCAACGCUGAGAAGUCAUUUAUAAGUACAGUGACAGACAGAUAUCUAUCGUUCAUACCAGUGCUUGAUUAAUUGAUUGAUUUUUGCUUAACGUCCAGUGGCAAAUACUUCAGGCCGAAAACAAAGUAAGAAUAAAUCCAAUAGGUAGGUCUGAGAUGAAGGUCUGUGAAAUUUGGACUAACACUUGAAAAUAAGGGUAAUUGGAAAGAGAUAGAAAUAAAGCCUUAGCCCAGGUGACACCCGUGUUUCUAUAACUGUUCAUAAGUAAUAAUCAAGUUAGACUUUUUGUGGAUAUAUUUAUAUACUUUAACCAUUAUGGCGGACUUUGUCAUUUUCUACUAUUCUUCUGAUAUGAGAGACUAUUUUUCGCAACAAUUAGCAUUCGAAAGUUGCUUACAUACAUCGCUCUAAAAAUUAGCUUGUUUGUUGGUUUAUGGUUUCCGAUGUCGUGUCAUUUGAAUGAGAAAUUCACCGAAUAAAAAUUCCUCUGAGAACUUAAAAUGAGCAAACAUACAAAUGAAAUAAAUAUCAAUAUCAAUACCAAUGUUUACAUGUUUUUUUCUUUUGAUCUAUUGUCUCAUUUUUGCCAGUUGUCUAACUCAAUUAGCCGACAAGUGUAAAAGGAUAUAUUUUUGGCGCAAAGUUUUACAAGUAAAAAUAGUUUUCAUUGUCAUUUUAUCUGCUGUAAUACUUUCAAACAUUAGAUUCUUUUAUUUCUUUAUUUAGGUCGUUCUCAUGUCGGAGCUUUACUUGGAAAUAGGGGUUAAAUCUAAAAUAGACGGACACGUGUACUAAUGUUAUAUCGAAUUAAUUGUAACAUAUCAGUUUACGGAAAAGGAUUUAAUAUUUUUAGUUGUGUUUUUAUAGGAAAUUUGAACACGUGUACUUGUUUUUGAAAAAUGUGCUUAUAUGGUGCCGGAUAAAAUUAUGAUUGCUAGAAAUCUGUAAAUUUCUAACUAACAACUUAAAAAUUGUUUAAAUUUUUUAUAAAUGUGUAAAUCAAAAUGUUAAACAAUCAACAAUGAAUCCAAAUUGUGGCGAAAAUUGAAAUAUAAAAGUGUUUUUUUUUUAGCGACACCUAUCAUUUUUCGCAUAAGGAGCAUUAGAUACAGUACGGUUUAAUGAAUGUUACUUUAAAAGUGAAAAAGUAAAAAAGCUUGUGGGAAGGGUAACUUUACUUUUUAACACAAGAAAAGAAAAUAAAAAAAAUAUGGUUUUGAAGUAUUUCACCUAAAAUAAAAAGUUUAGGGUUUUCACAAUGAUUAAGGGUCGCUGUAAUAUAUUUUUUUCCUGAUCUUCUGGAAGACAUUUAAAGUUGAAUUUACAAUCCAAAGAAACUCAGACUUACAUGGAAACUUUGCUAAUAAUGCAGAAAGUCCUUUGACAUUUACUUUCCAUUUGUUUAAUGUGUUGGCCAUUUGAUAAGAGUUUUUCUCAAAUGACUAUUCCUUGGAGUCGGUAUUAUUCUAAUUUUUUUUUUUUUUUUAAAUUUCCUAACAUGUGCUAACAAAGUAUAAUUUAUUUUAAUUUCUUAAACCAGAAAUUGGUCAGAAGAAUCAUUCUUUUCUUUCAAAAAAUGAACAAUUCGAUAAUUUUUAAUUUAAAAGAAAUGAAAAUUAGAUCAGAAUGGUAACUUCGACCUCUACUUUUACAAUGUCAUUUCAACAUUAAGUAUCAAUUUAUCAUAGCAGAUACAAGUAUGGAUGAUACAAAUUAUAAUUCCCGAAAACGUAUAUGAUUUUUAAAAUAUCUUAGGUCAAUAAAGUUUAUUUCAAGGUCAAGACUAAAAGAUUCUGAUAAAAAAAAAUAGUUUGUAAAACUUUUUAGGGUAUAUAAACGAACGUAAAUUUAUCACAUGAAAAAUAGAAAUGUAGAUGAAAGGAGAUGUGAAACAUACGUCCACGAAACAUCAAUAAAACGAAACCGAAAAAUAAGAAAAAUAAAAACACUUAGAAGACAAAUUUAUGUUUAAACCAAAACAUGCGUGUUAAACGAUGUCAAAAAAUAUAGAAACGGACUGACAUGGAAACUGUGCAGAUGAUCCGGGUUGUAAAGUAGAUUUCAAACUAUUGGAAUUGUUAUAAACCAAGCUACUGAAACUUUUGAUAAACAAAGAUUUGUUUAUCUUUCUUUUGUUUCGAAAAAUGAACAAGCAAUUCGAUUCUUUUGGAUUGAGAAGAAAUGAAAAUUAGAUCAGACUAAUAACUUUGAUUACCUUUUUUGUUUGUGAUGUUUUUUUUAUUAAACUGGUAAUAAUUUACCUUUUUCGUAAUUUGUGCACUUUGGCAUGUCAAUUUGCAUUGUCCCUUGGUGCCUCUUGCAGUUGUGUCACUUUAAAUAGUACUGACUCCUCAGCACCAGGCACGAGGAUGACAUACCAGUUAUGUGCAACUUCUUACCAUAUCUUACCAUAACAUUAAUGUCCCGAUACACAUUUAAUAUGCACCCCCCUCCCCCCCCCCCCCCCCCCCAUUGCCAUAUAGCACCGUCCCUUGGUGCCUCUUGUAGUUCAGCUAGAUAUAUUUAGCCUACUCACAGUAUUCUUUUUUGUUACUUUCUAGAGGUGUGUGAAAACUGUUGUUUCUUAGUUGUGUUUGUAACUAUGUAUACUGUAUUGUUUAUUAUAUUUGUAAAAGAAUAAUAUUACAAUGAUAUUAUAUUAUGCUCCUUGUGAGUCCAUUUUAUGGAAAUAAAGCAUUUUCUACUUCUUCUAUAGACAAUGUAGUUUCAAUAUCAAUAUAAAUAGAUCAACUCAUCAAUGAAUAUCUGAUACAAAAUAUAAUUCCCGAAAACGUCUGUUCAGUUUUUAAAUAUCUUGGGUCAAUAUACUAAAUCUAUUUCAAGGGCAAGACUUCAGGUUUCUGAUCAACACCAACGUAGAUUUAUCGUUAAAAGAUUAGAUAAAAAUUGUCGUAAGGAAGUUACUCUGUUUCUUUCAAUUUAACUUACUUAAAUCCUCAAAAAUAUAUAUUCAAAUAUCGACGACCUUGCACCUCUUAUCUCUUUUCUACUCUUUGUACUUUUGUUUUGAGUAUACCUAAUCCAAGGUCUUCUUUUUCACUGACCUUCAAACAUUUCUAGUAUACGAAUUGUACACCUGAAUAAUUAUCGCAUCUUCUACAACAUAAUUAGAGAAAACGAAUAUUCAAAUCUUGUGGUGUUAAGAAAAACACCAAGUAUAUUUGAAUAGUAAAAUAUUUAAACAAAACGUGAUUUUUUGUUAAAAAUAAAAAGUGUUUGAAAUCUCAAUUAAGGGAAUUGUUAUUUCUAAUAGCCUUUUUAAAAAGCUUGCUUACAAAAUGUAUAUUACAUUAAAAAAAAGUAUAGUAUGAUGUUUGUAAAUUGUCGGGAACCCAUAUAACAAAAAUCAGUAAAUCGGUCGAAAGUGUUUAAUUCGUAUAAAAAUAAAAAGGGGUUGCCAAAACAUGGCACAUCUUAUUGAUAUUUUCAAAAAUAAUUUAGAUAUAUACAUAACGGUUCUCUUUUAACAAAGAAAACGCAAUGACAUAGCUAUUCGUUUGAAUAAUUGUUGAUACUAUCUCAUUGUUUCAUCUUUGAUUAGUUUUUUAACAGUUUGGCAAACAAGCAAGACAAGACAAGAAAAAAAAGGAAUUUUGAUAUAGGGCUGAAUAAGCCCCCCCCCCCCCACCUAACUAAAAAAAAUCAAAAGUUUAAUAUCAAUAUUUGCCACAUUAUGUUUUAAAAUUGUUUCCUUUCAGAGCUAUUACAAAAGUGAUACUACUAUUAUGGAGUGCUGAGGUAAGCAACAACAAAAAUAUGUUGUAUUGUAUAUAUUAUCAUCUCUGUAACUAUGUUAUUUAGUUAAUGAGAAUAAAGAUCUAUCUAUCUACAAAAAUGUAACAAUAGUCGCAUUCAGUUUUACAAGACAUAUUUUUAAUGCAAUUUUCUUGAAACAAAAGAUCUGAUAUCAAAUUUUCUAAAAAUCAAGCUACAAUUUCUGUUUAAUGAAAACGACAUAAUAUGGAUUUUGUGAAAUUGAAACUAUAAGUUUUGUUUAAGGUGAAAAACUAAGUACUCAUUAAAUUUUCGGAAAAUGAAAGAAAGAAGAGAAUUCAAUGAAAAGAACAAAAGAAAACAUUUAUGAGAAAUGACCAGCAAAUUUUUGAUGGCGCAAAUUCUUCGCAUGAGCAAACCAAAAAAAAAAAACAAAAAAAAAAAACCACACACACACAUCUUUAAAUAUAAGAAUGUUUUAUCAUUUAUUUUUGUUCUUCACGUGUUUAAAAAAUUCAUUGCUACGGUAACUACCGAUGGAACCAUCUUGAAAAUCCAUCUUGUUACCAGUACUUAGAAAUGAUGUGAGCAGAUGGUCUUAUAACUUUUAUACACUCAGCCAAACUCAAUACCCAUUUCCAUGUAAACAUCCUAUAAUGUUUGAACAUUUACGUAAAAAAAACUCCAAUCAAACGAGCCGUAUGACGUAUUUCUUGUAACUCAUCGUCCGAUUUUCGGAAACCAGAAAGGAAAUAUAUAAAUGACUAUUAUAUAUUAUAAGCCUUUAAAUGGCUUGUUUACACGAGCAGGGUGAAGAGUUCAUAACUUCCUAUAUAUAUAAUGUAUAUAUUCUUUCAUGGAUGACAGGUCAUAAUUUUAAACUUAAGAUCUUUAACGUUCAUAUUUUGAUAACUUAUAUACCCUUUUAAACGUAUAUUUAUCUUCCUUUACUACUAAGUAUCGUUUUGGAUAGAGGCAUUACGCAGAACUCAUUGAUAUUUUCAGCAAUUCCUACAGAUAUUUAACGACGUAUUCUCUGUAAGGAAAUGAACUUUUACCCAUGAAGUCUAACUGAAUGCAAUGUUACAAGUGAUCGCCUCCCUGCUUACACGCCCUAAUAUUUAUUUCAAUUUGUAAAACCAAAAUCUACGACCACCAGAAUAAUGUUUCCAUUCUGAUCAUAAAUUCUCCUCUUUUUGAUGUUGGAUUUCCAAUUGACCAUUCUUACGGAGUAUUUCUUUUCAUUUUUGUUCUCCUUUAAAAUUUAUUUUACAAAAAGCGGAACAACGGGAAAUAUUACAUCUAUGAGAAGCCAGUUUGGUUUAAUUUUGUAAAAAAAUACUCUAAACGGAAUCCGAAUAUGCUUAGCAAAAUCAGUUCCUGGAAAGAAAAGAAUGUCAUAACUGAAAAAAGAAACAAAUGAACCACCAGGAAAAACAAUUCUGCUGGCUAAUUAGGCCCUAAAACAUUUUUACAUAUAUCAAUUCGGUGGUAAUGAAUUUAUAGGUUUGUUUCAGUCCUUUAAAGAACUAAAACCUUCGAAGUAGUAAAAACGGAAAAAAAUUACCUUACCAUUGUUCUACAUUCGGGUUUAUGUAACAUCGUAUACAGUUAUCUAUUUAUUGUUGAAGGUUGUUUGUUGACCUCUAAGUGUCUUCCUCUGUUUUUGUCGUAUGGUGUCUGUCUUAUAUGCGAAUAUUCCUCAUCUUCUUUAGUUCAUAUACUCUGUCUUUCUGUGGUUGUGUUCAUCAAUAAAGACACUACGGAGCCUUUGAAACCGAUGCGUUAAUCUAUUUGUGAUCAUUGAACAUCGGAGAAGAUUAAAAUCUGAAUUGUCAAAUGUUUUUUUUUAAUUUUUUUUUUGUGAAUUUUCCUUUUCUAACAUACAUGGGGGGUCAUACAUGCGAAAGACAGGUAGGGUUUUUACGUAUCACAAAAUAUUUUCUUUCCUUUCUGCAAACUUUUUUCUCCCGUUUAGUCAUUAAAAAUGAGAAAUUAGGAUUACAAAAUAGGCAAUGGUGAGCAAACAGAGAAUUACAUGUAAUGAUGAAAAAAAAGAAAAUGGAGUAAAAUAGGCCACAAAAUAAAGAGUAGUGAAAAUUGGGGUCCUUAGAUAUCAUAAAUAGAGAAUAAUGCGCAAAAAAUAAAGAAUAGAAAAAAACUGAUCUAAAAAAUAAUUGAUACAGAAAUUACCCCCCCCCCCUUUUUUUUCUUUCUCUCUAGACCCUCAUGAUCUUCAUUGCAGAAAUGUUACAGUUACGUUCACAAACCUGAUCGUUUACACAUCUCACUAUUAUUCAUAUGAACCUAAAAGCAAAAUAUCUUAAUGGGUUCAAGCUAUUUUAUCUAUAUAGAUUUUGUUUUUUUCAUUAUAACGACACUUAUUAUUGUUUUAGGAUAACUUUAGAAAGAUCAGAUGGAGCUUUAAAGUUUAGAAGACAACUGCAAAUCUUUUGUGAGCAUCAAAAACAGGGAGCAAAACAAAACAGUGCUUUCCAAGUUGUCAACUUAAGAAUUCUUCACAGUUUUGGGUUAAAAAUAUAGUGUGAAGGUAUUUUAUCUUUUAGAUGCAUGCUUAUUUAGUAAAUUCACCAAAUUCAAAUUUGAAUCCGUAUGCUGAUAAAAUAGAUAAAAUGGGUUAGACUCGACGUCCAAACGGAACUUUAAUAAGGAGUACCCAAAUUGCACAUAAGCUAAUAACUUCAGAUUUGUGAUUCUAUAUUGAGAAGUAUCUAAAUCGCAUGCACACAAGCUUAACAUCUGUGAUACCGUAGUGAGAACUCAAAAUCGAUGUUUUGCUUUAUUUCUCAACAUUUAUAAAAAUAAUUUGACAAACGUUUAGUAUGAUAUUAUAUAUAUAUGACUCCUUUUUGCAAGAAAUUGAUGCUUGUGAUUUAUUUCAAUUGCCCAUUUUAAAAGUUGAAUUGAUCUAGACGUCGCAUGUUCGCUGGAUUAUUGUUCGCUAGCUUGAGUCUGGUUAUGGGCGUUUCCGUAAAUGCUCUUUCUUUUCACUGGAGACUAACUCUGCAGUGGUAUAAUAUUAUAACCGUUUGUUGUUCAUCAUUUAGGCAUUUAGUGACAUUGGGAAAAUGACAAAUAAAGGUAAAAGAUAUCUGUCAUUUUUGGAGGGCGGUUGAAGAAAUGGUUUAAAUUAGAUACUCGGUUUAAUUUAGGUACUGCGACGUAAUUAUUUUUCGUGAAUUUAAUAUCACUGCGCCCCACUUAUGAAAACUUUUACUGUGGUAUAUAAUACAUACUGAUACGUUUUUCUGUAAUUUAUUUGCGUUUAAAUGAAGUUUCAAUAUGCAAAAAUAUUUUCAAUUCGGUCGAGUAGUGUGCAUGCACGAUUUGUUUCCUUCUAAAAAUCAUAAAAAAUAAGUUCAUUGAUAAAAUGUUGAGAUAUAAAAUUUGUCCAUCCUAUCGCUAGAAAAUAUUUUCUUUAUUUAUUGGGAUUUUUUUUUUCUGAAUUUACUUAUACAUUAUAGUGAUUGUCCGAUAUCAUCUACAUAAGGAGAUUAUAUUUAGGUAUCCUUAUAUAUUACGUCACCUUUAACCUAUGAUGGGCCUGAUGGGUUAUUUUCAUUCUUCGUGAUCGGCGCAUUUUCGCUAUUGUGAUGCGUUUUUCUAUAUAUUUUUUACUUUUUUAUUUACGUGAUCCGUGAUCAUGGAAAUUUAUUUUCUGUGAAUCGUGAUUGACCAAAAAAUCAACUCGUGAAUUGUGAUGAGACCCCCAACUCAGGCCCCUCGCCUAUUACAGUACAAAUGUAUAUCUUUUUUCGUUAAAUGGAACAACCUUAUGAUUGCGGUCAUAUUUACAUUGGAUUCCAAGAAAAACAAGGUCACCGGAUAUGGUAAGUAUAUAAUUAUAAGUAAUCCAUGUUGUUUACAAUUACAAUUGUUUAACCAUUAAAAGUAUAGCUAUACAUGCACUGGUCAUAUAUAUGUCAAGCAAACAUUUCUUCAUUAAUUAGUGGUACAAUUUUGAAGAAACUAUCAUAUGCUACAUAAAACAAAAGCUUACUUGAUAUUUCCAAUUUUCGAUGUUAAAAAAAAGAUUCAUGUUAAAUCGCGUCAUAUGAGAAAUCGACAUGCAUUUUGUUGUGCACAUCUAAUGAAAGAAAGUUAUAUGUGAGAAGUUUCCGUUAUCAAAAUAUACACAUUAUAUUCACUUUUCCAGGAAACGUGUCAAUAGUCCUAUUUAGCAGGUCCCUGGCGUUACAAUUCGAUAAAUUCUACCCAAUCGUUUUAGCUGAAAAUAUGGGUCAGCCUAACAAUGCAAACCAAAGCUGUGCAACAUAUAAUAUGUCAUUUGUUUAAAUGUUUAAAUUCACGAAGAAUUGUCUUAUUUAUAAAUAAAUUUAAGAGCAAUCUUGGUUUUUAUAUUUCUAAAAAUUGAAGUGAAAAUAUGUAAAUAGAUUUUUUACAUGAUAGAUAUUUAUAUAGAAAUUAAAUUAAUUACAAAAAAAAAAAUAAAAACGGCCAACAUAAAUAAAUCAUAAAAUGAUUGAUAUUUUUUCAUCACAAUGUCCAUUGCAUAUUCAUUACAAGAGCUGAUUAACAGUAAAUCAAAUUGAAAGAUUCUGCAAAAUGAGCAGCCGAAAGGGCGGGAUUUUGGACUGGCACUGAAAAAAGAUAGGAACCCAAAAAGUGUGCAGCAAGAAGCCAUCUUGGAACAAAAAUGAGAGUUGUAAAAGGACAGUUUUUAUUUGCAGAGAGCUCCCUAUUCUACGCAACGAUAUAGCUAUAUAUAGUAAGGUCCACGUGGACGCUGACUCAGAAAAAUGAACGACACCCAAGCAGUAAACAUAUAUAGGUUUUACUUACGGACAGGAGACGGACAAAAUAUAUCCCAGUCGACUAUUAUGUUUAAAAUUUUGAAAAAAAAAUGUCGAUUUGAAUGUCCUUGAAUUAUUAUAGAUAUUUAACUAAAAUAAAUUAUUUAAAAUAGUAAUUGAAAUUUAAAAAAAAAAAGCGACCACCGACCUCUACUCUAGUUAAAAAGCCUAGAGAUUAUUUAAUAUAAGCACUUCGAGUUGAAGCAAUAACAAUACUUCAUUCUCACCAUAAAAAGUAAAGGAUAAGUCACAGAGAAUUGUUUAUAACCUCUGUGUUGAUGUGAAAACUGCAAUUUUUUGUUUGUUUUAUGUUGGUUCAAAUUUUGACGAACAUUGGCCAUACAUAUCUUAUUAAAAUUUUAGAUUCAGAUUUUGCAGAUCUACAGUGUUAUUCCCUUUUAAUUGGUAACACAGGUUUUGCAAAAUAUAAGACUUGCACUCGAUUUUUGAGACGUUUUGAAUAUUUUUUUGUUUUCUUUUAUUUCAUUAAAUGGUUUAUAUGUCUCAACAUUAAAUUUUGCUCUUUAUGUUUAAUUUAAGCCUUCCUUUAUGAUGGCUAAGACAAAAUAUUUUGAAGUAUUUAUCCGGGUGUAUCUAAUGAGGCCCCUCAUGGGGGGGUCCUAGUAAUCACAUAAUCACCAUUUUUUUGCCAAUAUAAUCACAUAAUCAUUAAAUAUUUGCUUAUCUUUAGUAAUCAAAUAAUCAUAAACUAAAAAUACAGCCUAGGUAAUCAAAUAAUCAUGAAAUAUUUGGCUUAAUAAUCAAAUAAUCAUUAAAAAAACGGCCAAGUAAUCACAUAAUCAAAAACCCCAUGAGGGCCCUCUCUAAUCUGGGACCAAUAAACAAAUUCAUGUACUAGUCCCAUAUUUAGUAAAUGCUCUUAUUUUUAUUUGUGCUACAUAAACAUUUUAAAUACAUAGUAACAAUUUUAUUGUAUUGAUUUAAUUUUUAUAGAUAUUUUUUUUUAGCUUGCCCUCAGUUUCUAUCAAAUACGACGUUUAGUAGAUCUCUUUCAUAAUCACAUUAAAAUACUUCUAAGUAAAACCACAAAAGUUAAAUUAAUGUUGAGAGGAAGUAUCAGAAUUUUACGGUAGACUUAAUUAUUGGAUAAGAUAUAAAUGCGAUUACUAACACAAACCGCCGUUAAAUUAUUGGAAAAGUAAAUGAAUUGCUCAUCAUUGAAUUUAAUACAAUUUCAUUCAUUGUAUCCAAAAAUGAAUAUUAUUUUACGAGGAAUUACGAGGAAUUACAAGGAUGUGUGUGUGAAACCACACUUAAUACUGCAUCUAUUUGUGAACUUCACCUGUAUAAUUAUACAUAAUUCAGCGAAUUGUUUACAAAUAAAGGUCACGUGUGUUUUACUUUCACUUUAGCAAUUUUAUAUUGUGUAAACAAAUCCUUCCAAAGUACUGAAUAUUGAAACAACGGGCAUAAC